CGCAUCUGUGCAUGCAGCAUAUCAAUAAGCGGAGGAAAAGAAACUAACAAGGAUUCCCUUAGUAACGGCGAGUGAAGCGGGAAGAGCUCAAAUUUGAAAUCUUCAAGGUUUUACCUUGACGAAUUGUAGUUUAAAGAAGUGUUUUCUGUUGAAGUUUUGGUAAAAGUUCUUUGGAAUAGGACAUCAUAGAGGGUGAGAAUCCCGUAUUUGACCAUUAUUUUCAGCUGUGUGAUACACUUUCAAAGAGUCGGAUUGUUUGGGAAUGCAGUCCAAAAUGGGUGGUAAAUUUCAUCUAAAGCUAAAUAUUGGCGAGAGACCGAUAGCGAACAAGUACCGUGAGGGAAAGAUGAAAAGAACUUUGAAAAGAGAGUUAAACAGUACGUGAAAUUGUCAAAAGGGAAGCGUUUGACACCAGUGUUGUUUUCUCGAAAAUCAAUUAAAAAGAGUUUGAUUUUGUUGUGUAUUGACCUUAACAGCUUGCAUUUCAAUUUUCUUGCUUUUUUUAAUGCACUUUUCGUUUAACAAGUCAACAUCAGUUUCUUUUGUUGUAAAAAGGUCAUUGGAAGGUGGCUUUCUUUUCGGAGAAAGUGUUUAUAGCCUUUGUACUCCUGCAAUCGGAGAGACUGAGGUCUGCAGCGUAGAUCCUUCGGGGUUAGAUACAUUUGUGCUAAGUUAUAGCUUUUUAUAGACAACUUGUUGACUAUGAUUAGUCUUGUAGCUUACUCGCUUAUGCUAUUUUACCUACGCUUAGGAUGUUGACGACACGCGCGUGCUCG
Molecule: ribosomal RNA, 776 nt
Filed under: uncultured Neocallimastigales
Lineage: Eukaryota; Fungi; Neocallimastigomycota; Neocallimastigomycetes; Neocallimastigales
Description: partial large subunit ribosomal RNA
Rfam family: Eukaryotic large subunit ribosomal RNA
Source: RNAcentral